RNAcentral lists this signal recognition particle RNA (82 nucleotides) under Coriobacteriia bacterium. RNAcentral's name for it is "partial signal recognition particle sRNA small type". It matches the Rfam family "Bacterial small signal recognition particle RNA", at positions 18 to 97 of the family's 97-position model. From Rfam's summary of the family: The signal recognition particle (SRP) is a universally conserved ribonucleoprotein involved in the co-translational targeting of proteins to membranes. Lineage: Bacteria; Bacillati; Actinomycetota; Coriobacteriia. The record is from RNAcentral.
CGACAUGUCGCGAACCUGGUCAGGUCCGGAAGGAAGCAGCCAUAAGCGGCCUCUGUUGGGUGUCCGGGGUCCGCUCGAGGCG